AGCUGAUCAUUGGGUGUAAAGCGUGCGCAGGCGGUUUUGUAAGACAGAGGUGAAAUCCCCGGGCUCAACCUGGGAACUGCCUUUGUGACUGCAAGGCUGGAGUGCGGCAGAGGGGGAUGGAAUUCCGCGUGUAGCAGUGAAAUGCGUAGAUAUGCGGAGGAACACCGAUGGCGAAGGCAAUCCCCCUGGGCCUGCACUGACGCUCAUGCACGAAAGCGUGGGGAGCAAACA
Molecule: ribosomal RNA, 231 nt
Filed under: uncultured Alicycliphilus sp.
Lineage: Bacteria; Pseudomonadati; Pseudomonadota; Betaproteobacteria; Burkholderiales; Comamonadaceae
Description: partial 16S ribosomal RNA
Rfam family: Bacterial small subunit ribosomal RNA
Source: RNAcentral